CGAACAGUCGCUAGACCUUCGCUGGACCGCCGCCAAACCACCAUUUUAUUUUAUAAUUCCUUUCCCUAUCAAAUUUUAUGUCAAACCAAACAAUGAAAUUUAAUUUCACUAUUCUCCUCCGCUCCUUUCUUCUCCCUUCCCCUCCAUUUCACUCUUUUCCUCUCCUCCCCUUUCUUCAAACCAAACAUAGCCUAAAGUCAUUUGGGAACAUUCAUUAUUGGAGAGUAAUUUAAGUGUAGGAAAUGCAGAGAGAGGAUUUGAGUGAGAGGGAAGUGAUUUAAGCUUUCAAGUUGGAUUUCUCACUAAAGGGAGUGAGAUUUCUAUCAUUUUUAUUAUUAGUUGAAGUUGGAUUACACAAGAAUGAAGUUAAUUUAAAGAUUAGUAUACUUUAUUCAUAGAAGGGUUUCCAACAAAUGAGUAAAGUUGCUUCCAAGCUAAUUUUAUUAAUUGGUGGAUUAUUUUAGGAACAUAAGGGCACCAGCAAGACAUUGUAGAGCCGGAGACACUUUGCCCUCAUUGUUUUCUUGAUUCGAUGUACAAAUAGCUUGUAAAUAUAUAUAUUAUGUAACACCCCAAAUUCACCCAAGAAUCCCAAGAGGAAUUUGGAAAGAAACCUCUUAACAUUACAAUCUUAUUACUAUUCCCAAAGGAAAAUCAAUAAUAUCCAAUAAUAUCCAUAGUCGAAACAUAGUCUCUAAAACAAUAAAAAUAACAAUAACCUCCAAUACCAAAUUCAACUCUAAAUAAUAACCAAAGUAGCAACAAUUUAUUCAUCACAAAAAGGCCCAAAGUUUUUGGCUAGCAAAUCAUCUUCUCUAAAACAAAAAGCCCACAUCUCUAAAAUCAAUCUACAAAAUGUUGGAGACGAGAGGGGAGCCAUCAACUCAAUAAGCAAACUCAUGCAUAAGAUUACUAAUAACGAUGAAGUACAUAAUAAUCAUUAUGAUGUGCCAUAAAUUAGAAAUCAGUAAUCAUUUUGUAAUCUUAUACAUAUGUACCGUUAAAUUAGAAAUCAGUAAUCAUUUUAAAAUCUAAUAUAUAUGUACGGUAAAACUUAUAAUCAAGUAUGUCAUAACGUAAAAAUAAUCAUUUUUAAUACAUAUUGAUAAAUGAUGUGCCAUAAAUUAGAAAUCAGUAAUCAUUUUAUAAUCUAAUAUAUAUGUAUGGUAAAAAUUAUAAGAGUAAUGAUACAGCCACAAACUCUUGUACAAAUUUAUUUUGUACAAACUGGAGUGGCAUUAAUUCAUUGGUUGAAUGAAAAUAUAAAUUAAUAAAAACAAAUCAUGUGGGCCAAGUGAUAUUUAAUGCAACCAAUCUUAUCAUGCCACAUCAGUUUGUACAAAAUAAGUUUAUACAAGAGUUUGUGGUUGUAUCAUUAUUCAAAUUAUAAUCAAUUAUGUCAUAACAUAAUAAUCAUUUUUAAUAAAUAAUCAUUUAUCAAUAAAAAUCGUCCAUUUGUUCAGUUUGUUCAUGCCUUAUAGUGUCACCUAUAUUCCUGGUGACCUGGCCAGUAGUUUAGUAUAUCACUUGUGAUCCUGGUGAUCCAACCAGUUGUUUAAUCAGAGUACUUUACCUUGCAAAAAUUGCCAAUACGUGCGCACAGUACAGUUAAUUGUUCAGUAAUAUCAGUAAUAGUAAAUACAAACAAUGAGCUAAAACCUUAAAAUAAUUUUCAAUCUUUGACUAUCGUAAAAUACUAGCUAUGAAACCCAAAAGGGGGGUGAAUUGGGUUAUAAACAAAAAUUGUAUAAUAAAAAACACAAUACAAUUAAAAUUACUGCUUCAAGGAAUAUGAAUAACAAUAAAUUUAACAAAGCAUAAACUUAAAAGGAGUAAGGGUGAAGAAAACAAACACAUGGAUUUUUACGUGGUUCGGCAAACCUAUCUACAUCCAUGCCUCCAAGCAAACCACCCUUGAGGAUUUCACUAUUUAAGCCUCCCAAGGCUUCAAAAUCUUACAAUUGACUUCCAGGGUAUCAAUAAACCUUUACAAGUGAUGUUUCACUCACACACACCUUUCCCAAGUGUUUCCCACGCCUAUGCUUACGCAAAAAAUUGAAAGUUAUAACAAAUACUCUCUUUCAGAGUGAAUAUAUAAAAGAUAGCUCAAUGAUAACUUAAUAUAUAUAUAUUUGCAAAAUGGAAGCUCAAGAUCAGUAAUAUGAACAAGUUUUAGCUCAAUUGAUAUUGAAAAAGUUGUUAGAUUUGAGUUUGAUUUGGGUUUUUAUAAUUUAAACAAUCAAAUUAGCCAUUAUUGACUUUUUAGGGACUUGUCGGAUGCCACCAAAAUGAAGCGGUUUGUCACUAUGCUGACGUGGCAAGUUACUCUUACAAAAUCAAAUUUGAAAUUUUGCCCAAGCAGUUAGCUGCUAGAUUUAGCCAACUAGCCGCUAUGUUUCUAGACCUUAGGCAGUUAGUCGCUACAAAUUAAGCAAUUAGCCGCUAUUGUUCCAAAUUUUAUAGUUUUGCCUUAAAUAUUUUAGAAAUUAUACUAUGGCCCAAAAGAUUUUGAACGUUUUUCAAAUAGGUCCACUUCCAGAAUUUAAAAUAAUACUUUAUUGAUAUCAAAGUUUUCAAAAUCUUUCAUUUUAGUCCAUUAUUUUGAAAAACAACCAAUUUCAUAAAAUUACUUGUCUUAUAAUUAUAAAGCCUUUAGUUCAUGAAAAAAGAUGACUUAUUAAAUAAAAUCUUGGGCUUUUAAAAUGCUAAAUCAUGCAUACAUUAAAUCAUACUAGCUUUACAAGAAUUAUAGAAAUGGAGAUCACUUUGAGCUAGUACUCUUAAUAUUUGUCCUUGAUCGUGUCAUUGCCCAUUGUGUGUCUUGAGCUAGAUAUUGCUUGAAUGAAUUUUACUCUUCAAGAACUAGUGAGAUUGUGAAAUAUACAAUUACCCUUAAUAUGUGGUUUGUUAUUAUCAAAAUUAUAGUUCGUGUAGCUCUCUAGGCUAAAAUAUCAAUAAUUCAACAAUCGAUCAAUAAAAACUCUUAUAAGACAUUUAAUUGGGAAAGCUUUACAAAUUAAUUUUAAGGAAAACAAUUUAUGGAACACAAGUAUUUUAAAGUC
Molecule: long non-coding RNA, 3062 nt
Filed under: Citrus x clementina
Lineage: Eukaryota; Viridiplantae; Streptophyta; Magnoliopsida; Sapindales; Rutaceae
Description: Citrus clementina (C. clementina) long non-coding RNA (CCLE_LNC000406)
Source: RNAcentral